Molecule: ribosomal RNA, 161 nt
Filed under: uncultured bacterium
Lineage: Bacteria
Description: partial 16S ribosomal RNA
Rfam family: Bacterial small subunit ribosomal RNA
Source: RNAcentral
AAUCGUGGAUCAGCAUGCCACGGUGAAUACGUUCCCGGGUCUUGUACACACCGCCCGUCACACCAUGGGAGUCGGUAACACCCGAAGUCAGUAGUCUAACCGCAAGGAGGACGCUGCCGAAGGUGGGAUUGACGACUGGGGUGAAGUCGUAACAAGGUACC